GAUGAAGAACGCAGCGAAAUGCGAUAAGUAGUGUGAAUUGCAGAAUUCAGUGAAUCAUCGAAUCUUUGAACGCACAUUGCGCCCUUUGGUAUUCCUUAGGGCAUGCCUGUUCGAGCGUCAUUACAACCCUCAAGCUCAGCUUGGUGUUGGGCCCCGCCGCCCCGGCGGGCCCUAAAGUCAGUGGCGGUGCCGUCCGGCUCCGAGCGUAGUAAUUCUUCUCGCUCUGGAGGUCCGGUCGUGUGCUCGCCAGCAACCCCCAAUUUUUUUCAGGUUGACCUCGGAUCAGGUAGGGAUACCCGCUGAACUUAAGCAUAUCAAUAAGCGGAGGA
RNAcentral lists this unclassified non-coding RNA (329 nucleotides) under soil metagenome. Its description in RNAcentral is "partial contains 5.8S ribosomal RNA, internal transcribed spacer 2, and large subunit ribosomal RNA". The stretch from base 1 to 120 matches the Rfam family "5.8S ribosomal RNA", at positions 35 to 154 of the family's 154-position model. The record is from RNAcentral.